UACGUAGGGUGCAGGCGUUGUCCGGAAUUAUUGGGCGUAAAGAGCUCGUAGGCGGUUUGUUGCGUCGGCUGUGAAAUCCCGAGGCUCAACCUCGGGUCUGCAGUCGAUACGAGCAAACUAGAGUGUUGCAGGGGAGACUGGAAUUCCUGGUGUAGCGGUGAAAUGCGCAGAUAUCAGGAGGAACACCGGUGGCGAAGGCGCUGCUCUGGGCCGGUACUGACGCUGAGGAGCGAAAGCGUGGGUAGCAAACAGG
This 253-nucleotide ribosomal RNA is filed under the name uncultured bacterium. RNAcentral describes it as "partial 16S ribosomal RNA". It matches the Rfam family "Bacterial small subunit ribosomal RNA", at positions 524 to 776 of the family's 1533-position model. The record is from RNAcentral.